RNAcentral lists this ribosomal RNA (253 nucleotides) under uncultured prokaryote. RNAcentral's name for it is "partial 16S ribosomal RNA". It matches the Rfam family "Bacterial small subunit ribosomal RNA", at positions 524 to 776 of the family's 1533-position model. The record is from RNAcentral.
GACGUAGGGCGCGAGCGUUGUCCGGAUUUAUUGGGCGUAAAGAGCUCGUAGGCGGCUUGUCGCGUCGACUGUGAAAACCCGCGGCUUAACUGCGGGCCUGCAGUUGAUACGGGCAGGCUAGAGUUCGGUAGGGGAGACUGGAAUUCCUGGUGUAGCGGUGAAAUGCGUAGAUAUCGGGAGGAAUACCUAUGGCGAAAGCAGGCUACUGGACCGUCACUGACUCUGAUCUGCGAAAGCUAGGGGAGCAAACAGG